AGCGUCCUCAGCGACGGACCGG
This 22-nucleotide small nuclear RNA is filed under the name Arabidopsis thaliana (thale cress). RNAcentral's name for it is "snRNA_12055". The record is from RNAcentral. Lineage: Eukaryota; Viridiplantae; Streptophyta; Magnoliopsida; Brassicales; Brassicaceae.